RNAcentral lists this ribosomal RNA (164 nucleotides) under Euphorbia nyassae. Its description in RNAcentral is "5.8S ribosomal RNA". It matches the Rfam family "5.8S ribosomal RNA". Rfam says of the family: 5.8S ribosomal RNA (5.8S rRNA) is a component of the large subunit of the eukaryotic ribosome. It is transcribed by RNA polymerase I as part of the 45S precursor that also contains 18S and 28S rRNA. Functionally, it is thought that 5.8S rRNA may be involved in ribosome translocation. Lineage: Eukaryota; Viridiplantae; Streptophyta; Magnoliopsida; Malpighiales; Euphorbiaceae. The record is from RNAcentral.
AAAAUGACUCUCGACAACGGAUAUCUCGGCUCUCGCAUCGAUGAAGAACGCAGCGAAAUGCGAUACUUGGUGUGAAUUGCAGGAUCCCGCGAACCAUCGAGUCUUUGAACGCAAGUUGCGCCCUAAGCCUUCCGGCCGAGGGCACGUCUGCCUGGGUGUCAUUC